Musa acuminata subsp. malaccensis (wild Malaysian banana) is the source of this 1231-nucleotide non-coding RNA. The record is from RefSeq and is a predicted model, not a curated record. NCBI's taxonomy places the organism in Eukaryota, Viridiplantae, Streptophyta, Magnoliopsida, Zingiberales, Musaceae.
CAUAGCAGCUAAUUCAUAAACUGAUCUUCUAUCUGAAUUAUACAGGCUGGAGAUAUGCUUGUGGAGAUCGAUAGUGGAUGAUCGUGCCACCAUAAAAUGAAUUAGCUGCUAUGUAUUCAGAAUCAUGGCUUGUGCGGAAGGUAACCGAAGCAUGUUUAUGAAGAUUCAGCUUAAAUUAUGAAUCACAGUGGCCUAUGUAUGCCCUGUGACACAGUUUGAUCAGUGUUGGCAUUCAGUAUCACUGCAGAAUGUGUUUGCUUUUAACAUACUAUUGUUACAUUUAGUGUUGAUUUGCAUUUUAACCUACAAAAUAGAAGUGAUGAAUUCUCCUUGUGAUCAAUCGUGAAUCGCAAUCCUGUUCACUUGCGCUAGCACUUUUUGAUAUAUCUAAAGACUGGUGUGACGAGUUACGUGUUUGCAGUAUGGUAUUGGUACAUUGUGAGCAUCUGAUUAUAUCUGUACUCAAGCUAUUGUGACAGUUAAGAUCGGCAUCGAAGUACAAAGGUAAAAUUUAAUUACAAAACUAAUUUCCAAAAAUUUGAUUUCACCAAAUGGCUGUCGCUUUUUUGUUACAGUUAUUCGGCAGGUUGGUAGCAGACCCUUUUACUACUUCCCAUACGAGUGCAGAAGCAACGUUGUAAGUGAUGCUACGCAUCCGGUAACUGAAAUCCUGGCCACACAACAUGGAGAUCGCGUGGUUGCAUCGGGCGGUCACGCUCGACAACAAACAAAUGGAAGCAAAAAGAAACCAGACCCGACCCACACAACCCUCAUCCUCCCGUGUCCGAAGUGCUUCAGGAUUCCCCUCCGCCGCCACCGCUCCGGUAGAGCUCGUCGUCAUCGGUUCCGCAUCUGGGCUGCUCCACUAUUGUCGCGGCUUCAAAAACUGCGACUGGCACACGCUCUCUCCCGGCCACGGACUUUCUCGGCCGACCUCCUCCCUCGAAGUCAGUUCCCAUCUCCGCCUUCCCUCUUCAUCUUCCUCCAAUUUUACAUCUUUAUUUGCAUUGCCUCCUUUCUCCGGUCGUCGCUCUUGAUUCCUUGAUUUCCUUUAGAUACAUGUGUUGUCUAUCGCUGUUCAUCUCUUUGUUCUUAACUUUUCUUUCAGGGUUCGUUUAUUAUUAUGUUGGAUGAUCAAUCAGGCUAUUCUUUUAUAUGAUGGGAAGAUGAAUAUUCUCUAUUAGUAUUUUUUCUGUUAUUUUAAUGAUUAACAAUUUCCCAUGGUUCUAAA